CGUAGGGGCUAGCGUUAUCCGGAUUUACUGGGCGUAAAGGGUGCGUAGGCGGUCUUUCAAGUCAGGAGUUAAAGGCUACGGCUCAACCGUAGUAAGCUCCUGAUACUGUCUGACUUGAGUGCAGGAGAGGAAAGCGGAAUUCCCAGUGUAGCGGUGAAAUGCGUAGAUAUUGGGAGGAACACCAGUAGCGAAGGCGGCUUUCUGGACUGUAACUGACGCUGAGGCACGAAAGCGUGGGGAGCAAACAGGAUU
RNAcentral lists this ribosomal RNA (252 nucleotides) under uncultured bacterium. RNAcentral describes it as "partial 16S ribosomal RNA". It matches the Rfam family "Bacterial small subunit ribosomal RNA", at positions 526 to 779 of the family's 1533-position model. The record is from RNAcentral.